This is a non-coding RNA of Misgurnus anguillicaudatus (oriental weatherfish), 1178 nucleotides long. The record is from RefSeq and is a predicted model, not a curated record. Lineage: Eukaryota; Metazoa; Chordata; Actinopteri; Cypriniformes; Cobitidae.
GGAGUUCGGACUCCGGACCGGCAUUUCUGCUUGUUUGUACCCUGUCCCUGAGAUAACCAUGGUUAAUAAAUGGUCAGACACGUCACUGGCUUUAAAAUAUAAACCCCAUUGAUGCAAAAAGAUGCUGCAUGGAAUGACAAUGAGGUUUGGAACAGACUUGGUGAAGAACAUGGAAACAUCUCUAAAUAAAAUGGCCCCAAACAUCAUCAGGAGUGCAAAAGAAGGAAGUAAAAACAUCUCUACGCCAAUCUCAUCGGAGAGGAAACCACAGAAGGUGCUUGUUCUUUGUCCAGUGUCUGGUGAGGAAUGCUGCACUUAUGUUAUUGCAAGCAUUAUUUCAAGAAAAUCCCAGCUUCCUUUACUGUGUAAAUAGUGAACCCAAAGGUCCCACACCAACCAUAGUGUUCAACGGCUCUCCUGAUCUUCUCAAAUCUGAAAGUAUCAACUGUAUAAUGGACAAUGUGAACUUAAUAUGUGGAAGACAUUGACAUCACAGGCUGUGGAAUGACUGUGUCACAGGUCGGAGAAGCGGACCGCCCCUGUCGCGGAUCACGCUCCUCCUAGUUCCACCUUGAGGAGGUCCCAAAGCACCCCAAUGACCAGACAAACCAGAGAUAAGUAAAAUAUAAAAAUAGAAACUUUAUUUAAAUUAUUUAAAACUAAAGUGGGGAAUGGGAAAGGGAAUCUAAAAAUCUCCCUUCUCGCCCUCAGGGGGAGUAUUACGGGGCCAGGGACGUUGGAGGGGUUUCCACGUGACUUUAGCUGGAACACCGCUACAGAGCGUAUCUGGCUGGGUUGGGCACACACCGUCGCGGCGGCCCCUGAUGGCAUCCACAAAGGUCCAAGACCCUCCUAAGCUCCCAGCCGUAGCAGAACUACGUAUUUCAGCACCCGAACGACUAACAACCCAGCCGGCAUCUGCAGCGUAUAUCCAACGCAAUCAAACUUCACUCUGACAAGUAACUUCCUAUACACAACCACGCCGUCCUUUCGCCCGGACCAGCCCCGCACUCUUUCCGCCCGCUACCUAGCGGUCGCCGGAUCAGCAGAGCCUGCGGACUCUUCGGAGGCUGGUCUUCGUUGUGCUGCCCAAGGCGGAAGUUUACUUCCAGUAACUUCUACCUUCUCUCUUUAUAUCCUCCUCCAUGGCGUGGAUCGCCCAACCAUCGCUCGCCACG